AAUGAAGAUAAUAUAUAGGAUAAAGUGGAAGAUAAUAUUUCAACAGAUAUCACAGAAAUAUAGUAGAAAUAUAGUACGAUGAUUAUGAUAAUAUGGACAUGAUACAAUGGCUGAAUGGAUUUAAUAUGAUUCUUUUAAUUAAUCGUGACGCUAGGUUUAUCUCUGCAUCGAAUAAUCAAUUGGAACGUGGAUAUAAGGAUGCUGAGGGUACUCGAUAAUCGAGUGACUUUCGCGACUUCGAGUGAUUUCACUCAACGUUCAACGAACAGCUCGAAGCCGAAUACCAGGAAUAGUAAGAAAUUUCUUCUACACAGAAAGGAGAAGCAAGCUUACCCUUCGUACAAUAAAUAGAAGGAGCUACAUACGUUUUUAAUCGCGAAGAUCGCGGUAAACUUACGAAAUUUGGAAACGUCAAGGGUAUCGUAAGGUUUCUGUGAAUCCUUUUUAUGGAUUCCCGUGAGUCUCGAUUUACUGCCGCUUUUCGUAUUUCUUGUGCGUAUUAAAGGA
Molecule: unclassified non-coding RNA, 507 nt
Filed under: Bombus terrestris (buff-tailed bumblebee)
Lineage: Eukaryota; Metazoa; Arthropoda; Insecta; Hymenoptera; Apidae
Description: misc RNA ENSBTSG00005037458.1
Source: RNAcentral